RNAcentral lists this ribosomal RNA (496 nucleotides) under uncultured bacterium. Its description in RNAcentral is "partial 16S ribosomal RNA". It matches the Rfam family "Bacterial small subunit ribosomal RNA", at positions 28 to 506 of the family's 1533-position model. The record is from RNAcentral.
GAUGAACGCUGGCGGCGUGCCUAAUACAUGCAAGUCGAGCGAACGGACGAGAAGCUUGCUUCUCUGAUGUUAGCGGCGGACGGGUGAGUAACACGUGGAUAACCUACCUAUAAGACUGGGAUAACUUCGGGAAACCGUAGCUAAUACCGGAUAAUAUUUUGAACCGCAUGGUUCAAAAGUGAAAGACGGUCUUGCUGUCACUUAUAGAUGGAUCCGCGCUGCAUUAGCUAGUUGGUAAGGUAACGGCUUACCAAGGCAACGAUGCAUAGCCGACCUGAGAGGGUGAUCGGCCACACUGGAACUGAGACACGGUCCAGACUCCUACGGGAGGCAGCAGUAGGGAAUCUUCCGCAAUGGGCGAAAGCCUGACGGAGCAACGCCGCGUGAGUGAUGAAGGUCUUCGGAUCGUAAAACUCUGUUAUUAGGGAAGAACAUAUGCGUAAGUAACUGUGCACAUCUUGACGGUACCUAAUCAGAAAGCCACGGCUAACUACGU